Long non-coding RNA from Eurytemora carolleeae, 260 nucleotides. RefSeq lists it as uncharacterized. NCBI's taxonomy places the organism in Eukaryota, Metazoa, Arthropoda, Copepoda, Calanoida, Temoridae. The record is from RefSeq and is a predicted model, not a curated record. The transcript is spliced from 2 exons.
ACAACAAAAUCUUCACCACCCAACAGAAAAAAAAACUUUAACUAUGGGCUGAGCAGACAACAUUAUAAUAUAUAUAUAUUUAGACAUGAAGAUUUCUGAGUGCUUCAGAGAGAGGUUUGAGGAUGGAGAAGCUUUUGUCCGAGACGUCAGAGGGGAUGGAAAUUGUUUAAGCAGGACUAUAAGUGUCUUGCUGCAUGGGAAUGAAACCCACAGGGUUCUACUCAGAGCUCAUAUUUUGGCGUUUUAUGAGCAUUCUAAUG